RNAcentral lists this ribosomal RNA (468 nucleotides) under uncultured bacterium. Its description in RNAcentral is "partial 16S ribosomal RNA". It matches the Rfam family "Bacterial small subunit ribosomal RNA", at positions 28 to 507 of the family's 1533-position model. The record is from RNAcentral.
GACGAACGCUGGCGGCGUGCUUAACACAUGCAAGUCGAACGGAAAGGCCCUGCUUUUGUGGGGUGCUCGAGUGGCGAACGGGUGAGUAACACGUGAGUAACCUGCCCUUGACUUUGGGAUAACUUCAGGAAACUGGGGCUAAUACCGGAUAGGAGCUCCUGCUGCAUGGUGGGGGUUGGAAAGUUUCGGCGGUUGGGGAUGGACUCGCGGCUUAUCAGCUUGUUGGUGGGGUAGUGGCUGACCAAGGCUUUGACGGGUAGCCGGCCUGAGAGGGUGACCGGCCACAUUGGGACUGAGAUACGGCCCAGACUCCUACGGGAGGCAGCAGCGGGGAAUAUUGCACAAUGGGCGGAAGCCUGAUGCAGCAACGCCGCGUGCGGGAUGACGGCCUUCGGGUUGUAAACCGCUUUCGCCUGUGACGAAGCGUGAGUGACGGUAAUGGGUAAAGAAGCACCGGCUAACUACGUG